CUCUGAGGAAAUGGUUAUUGUUGCAAUCACUAGACAAAGGAAGGGAAUUUUUAUAGUGGUUGAUGAACAAUUUGACUAUGAUUUCUCUACCUCUUUUGCCAUGAAGAGGAAAAAUCAUAGCAUCAUCUCAGGUGACUUUGAAUUCAUCAACUCUUUUAUUGAGAAAAAACUCUCAAAUUUUAGAGUUGUAGAUGAGCAGAAGUUUGGGGGUGAUUUUGAGCUUAAAAUGGAGGGUGAUCCUUUCCUCAAAUCUGAGUUGUUCAUGCUGCCCAUUGAAAAGGAUGUUAAACCUGAGUUUCAGGAAGUUGAGAUCAAGAAAACAAAUCUCAAAACACACAUUCCUUUAGUGGCUGGCGAUUUGUUGAGAAUGCAGAAAUCUGAAAAGAUGAAAGCCAGGGAAGAUAGGGAAUUCAUCGGUUUAUGUAGUGAACCUAGUGCUCAGUUUUCU
Molecule: unclassified non-coding RNA, 448 nt
Filed under: Hevea brasiliensis (rubber tree)
Lineage: Eukaryota; Viridiplantae; Streptophyta; Magnoliopsida; Malpighiales; Euphorbiaceae
Source: RNAcentral